Molecule: ribosomal RNA, 546 nt
Filed under: uncultured bacterium
Lineage: Bacteria
Description: partial 16S ribosomal RNA
Rfam family: Bacterial small subunit ribosomal RNA
Source: RNAcentral
UGGGGAAUUUUGGACAAUGGGGGGAAACCCCUGAUCCAGCCAUCCCCGCGUGUGCGAUGAAGGCCUUCGGGUUGUAAAGCACUUUUGGCAGGAAAGAAACGUCGCGGGUUAAUACCCCGCGAAACUGACGGUACCUGCAGAAUAAGCACCGGCUAACUACGUGCCAGCAGCCGCGGUAAUACGUAGGGUGCAAGCGUUAAUCGGAAUUACUGGGCGUAAAGCGUGCGCAGGCGGUUCGGAAAGAAAGAUGUGAAAUCCCAGAGCUUACUUUGGAAUGCAUUUUUAACUACCGGGCUAGAGUGUGUCAGAGGGAGGUGGAAUUCCGCGUGUAGCAGUGAAAUGCGUAGAUAUGCGGAGGAACACCGAUGGCGAAGGCAGCCUCCUGGGAUAACACUGACGCUCAUGCACGAAAGCGUGGGGAGCAAACAGGAUUAGAUACCCUGGUAGUCCACGCCCUAAACGAUGUCAACUAGCUGUUGGGGCCUUCGGGCCUUGGUAGGCGCAGCUAACGCGUGAAGUUGACCGCCUGGGGAGUACGGUCGCAAG